This is a long non-coding RNA of Chrysolophus pictus (golden pheasant), 3496 nucleotides long. The record is from Ensembl. NCBI's taxonomy places the organism in Eukaryota, Metazoa, Chordata, Aves, Galliformes, Phasianidae.
AAUAAAACCAAUUUGCAAUGAUCUAUCAAACGGAGCGUGGUAAGGAUAGCAUUUCAGCUUAUAGCUAAGUGUAUUGUCUUUCAUGCAGCAGUGCUGAGGCUUUAAAAAUCUGUUUUGAACACGAACUCCUGGAGUUAAAUGACCUUCUCCUUGCAGGAAUUUGUUCUGAGGAUUAUGGAUCAGAACCUCCAACAGCUCAGGACCUGGCAAUAUGAACCUUGUAGUGAGUGGGCAUAAAUCUGCUUUGUCUUCCUGCAGAUUGCUGUAAUGUAUUUUCAGUAUCCAGCUCAUCUGAGUCAUGAAGAAGAUAAAGCGUUCCUGUGGAGCCUUCAUGGGAAGAGGCCACAAGCAGCAGAAAGGGGCUGAGGAGAAUGCAGAGAUGCUUCCCAAGGCCAAGGAGAGAGAAAAGCAGGAAAAAAAGUGGGCAGAAAAACUGAAAAGAUACAAGUUGGUAGAGAUUUUAGAGAUUGUUCCCAGCAGGAAAAAGGCAGCUGCAAAGAAGGAUAAAAGCAAAAAUGAGGCAGGAAAUUUGCUGGAGAUGGAAACAAAUAGGAAAAAAGAGGACAGAGAAAGGCCUGCAGAGGAUAUCAUCUAUGGAUUCACUGAGCAAGGAAAGUUUUCUCAAGCUUGCCAUUAUAUUUCUCGUCUGGAGCAGCCUGGAAGUGAUAGUGUGGGAGACUCUGAGUCACUUUAUACUCUCCUGGCUGAACAAAUGUGGUCUGCUGUGAGAAAAGCACUCGAUGGGAGUGAUGGGAUGCUUCUGCAGCCAUUGCAGUCAGUGGGUGAAUCACUGAACUGGCAGAAGCAGAAGAAAGAGGAGCGGCUUAGCAGCGAGCAAGGGAUGGAACCUGCUUCCACCUGGCAUCCAAACUUCUGGGAGAAAGAUCUGGAGAAAGAACUAACACAGUACUGGACAGCCCAGAUUCCCCACUUUAUUCCCACUGGUGACACAGAUGAUACUGCACUAAAACAGCAUCUGAAUCAGCUGGAAACAACAUUCCUCCUCAGCCUGGAGCACAGAAGUGGUGCCUUCAGGAAGGCAGGAUUGCUUAUCCCCUACAGCCGGUGCUGCCAUGCCUCUUUGUUCUCUCACCUUUCCGCCCUCACUGACAGUGAGCACUGUACCUACAGCCAAGGGCUCUUAGUUUAUGAAUGGUGCCUAAAAACAUAUAAAAGGGAAAGUGGGAUGUGGUUGGAACCCAGGCAGAGCUCCCAGCACCCUGAUGUGCAGAGUCUCACGUGGAUGAUUCUGAAAACAGAAGAAAAGUUACUUGCAGUCACCCGGAUGUUAACAGAGAAGAUAAAAGCAGCCCAGCACAUCAGUGAGAACCUAAGGAAGAAGGUGGAAGCUGUAUGCCUGGAGGAGUACCUGAGCUUCCUGGGCAGCUAUGAAAACGAAGUAAGAAACAUUCUCCAGAAUGAUGGCUUCCAAGGGAUCUCCAGCAGCUUGCAAAUCAUUGAGAACUUCAGCAUUCUCAGAACUGUCUGGUAUAAGUUAACGUACCUUUGUAGUGCCAGCACUGAUCAGAAUGCUAAGAUGAAAAGAUUUAUAGACAGGAUGGAAGAUGAGAUUACGGAGCAUUUUCUGAAGACAGUCACUUCUGAAGUCAAGGGAGCACUGAAGGAUCAUUUCAGAAGGAGUGACAGUGGUUUUAAAUACAUCCUUCGAUUCUUAAAGCAAAGCUUUUUGAUGUUUAAGAAGAAAAAAACAGACAAAUAUCAGACCCUUGUCAAAUCUGUGAACAACAUAAUUACUAACGAAUACAUGCAAGCCCUCUGGACCGCUUCCAGGAAAUCGUCUGUGCGGAGCAGGAAGCAGAUUGUCAGCAAGAUGGAAGAAGAUCACAGGAUGCUGCAGACCAUCUUUAAAGAGUGCUUAAGUCCCACAGUUGAUGCUCUCAAGGAUCUCAUCAAAGCAGUUUUAGAACUUAUUCAAGCUCCUGAUGCUGAGGGGAUGAAAAUAGCCCUGAUGUCUGAGCCUGGCCUAAGGGAAGAACAUCUGAACACAGUGUUGGACAUCAAAGGGUCGGUCCGUCAAGAAGACAGAGUUGCCUUAUUGGAGAUAUUUCGUGAUAAUUUUAGGAAAACUGAAACAGAAAGCAACUUGCUUUUUGAAGAUAUAGAAGUAAAACCUGGAAUGUGUAAACGCUGUUGCUGCUUUUGUUGUUAGGAAAGUCAGACCUACUGUGAGGAACAUGAAGUUCUCUCUCCCACAUGGCAGUAUCUGCAGUCACAGCUCCUGGAAAGCUUCAUGGACUUGUGCAGCUGGAUGCAUGAAGAAGCGUGGCAGCUGUGGAAACCAGAAUUCCUGCACUUCUGCAGAAAAACCACAUGGCCCAGAUCCUAAUGUUCUAUGCAAAGACCAGGCAGAAGUUGACUGGGGUAUGGCUGAAAGACAUUCCUUUAAAAUUGCUUAGAGAAUGAUGCUUAGCUGAGUCCUGGUGGUUAUUCCCAAGAUGUGCUAUCAUGGUGUGGAGGAGGGGGAGGUUCCUCUCUGCCGAAUUUCUGUUAUACAGAGUCUCAUGCUUAACAAGGGACUGCUCUCCAGAGUGCCCUAGCAGAUGAUACAGCAUGAUAACCUGCCCAAGGGCUCCCUGUAGAGCCUAGCCCAUGGGAGCAUGGGGCAGCCAUGGGCAUGGUGCAGGAUCCAGCCCCUGUAAGCCUGACCUGGUAGAAAUGUGAGUUUUCCCUUGUCACACCAAGGUCACAAGCCCCAAGAGUGGGAGCAGAAGAUGGCAUUUGUCCUCGUGUCCCUUGCUGGGAUGGCUUAUGGCAGUCUCCUUGUGGGAUGGGGAGCUUUUCAUGUACAAGUUUCUCAGCUGGUGCUGGAGCACUUUUGCAUUCAUUUUCGUACCUCGGCUACUGGAAAUUUCCUCUUGCUGUGUGAAGUAGCUCUUUUGGAGAUGGAGUAGAAGGCCUUGAGGGAAGUAGGCAGUGAAAGGAGCUGUUUGUCCCUGCCACUGGGCAAGGUCUGUGCUGUUUUCAUAUGUAGAUAGGCAGUUCUGCUAAGGAAAGCACUAACUUUCUAGUUAUCUAUGGACUGUUCACACCCUCAAGAUUCAAGGCCUUCCUUUAAUUUAGGUCAUUAUAGACUUGUUCCUCUCUGGCAUAACCUGCAAGUUUGCAAGGCUGGGGCCACGUCCAGCUCCUAGGCUGUGGGAUGUUGUGCAGGUCUGAAUGAGUGCCACCACACUUUGCAGCACCGUGCCAUGCAAACAGCCCCUUUGGGUGUGCCAGCAAUGAAGCCAUAUCUUGGGCUGGCUCUGCAGGGAGGUGGACUCCUGUCACAAUGUGCAGUGCUGUGCUGGGAGUGCUGACAGCCUUGUCAAGCACGCCGGGUCAUUUGUCCUCCCGUGCUGCCUAAUUGCACAUUUUUUCAAGGGCAGGAAGUGAUUACAGCCCCAACUUUGUGACGACGGGAUUAGAGGCAGCCUCCGUUUAUUGGAAUUUCAAUCAACGAACCUUCCAGAGAAAAUAAAUAAAAACCCCUUUGACA